Molecule: ribosomal RNA, 379 nt
Filed under: uncultured eukaryote
Lineage: Eukaryota
Description: partial 18S ribosomal RNA
Rfam family: Eukaryotic small subunit ribosomal RNA
Source: RNAcentral
CAAUAGCGUAUAUUAAAGUUGUUGCGGUUAAAAAGUUCGUAGUUGGAUUUCUGCCAAGGACGACCGGUCCGCCCUCUGGGUGAGUAUCUGGCUUGGCCUCGGCAUCUUCUUGGAGAACGUUGCUGCACUUCACUGUGUGGCGCGGUAUCCAGGACCUUUACUUUGAGGAAAUUAGAGUGUUUCAAGCAGGCAUCCGCCUUGAAUACAUUAGCAUGGAAUAAUAAGAUAGGACCUCGGUUCUAUUUUGUUGGUUUCUAGAGCUGGGGUAAUGAUUAAUAGGGAUAGUUGGGGGCAUUCGUAUUUAACUGUCAGAGGUGAAAUUCUUGGAUUUGUUAAAGACGGACUACUGCGAANGNAUUUGCNAAGGAUGUUUNCAUUG